Molecule: non-coding RNA, 124 nt
Organism: Triticum aestivum (bread wheat)
Lineage: Eukaryota; Viridiplantae; Streptophyta; Magnoliopsida; Poales; Poaceae
Source: Rfam
GAUAUACUCCCUUCAUUCGAAAUAUUCGUCGGAGGAAUGGAUGUAUCUAGACAUAUUUUAGUUCUAGAUGCAUCCAUUUUUAUCCAUUUCUCCGACAAGUAUUUCCAGGUGAAGGGAGUAUAAG